Molecule: long non-coding RNA, 4401 nt
Filed under: Sus scrofa (pig)
Lineage: Eukaryota; Metazoa; Chordata; Mammalia; Artiodactyla; Suidae
Description: lncRNA (ENSSSCG00050077723.1)
Source: RNAcentral
CCCCACUCCUGGCUAGUUGUCUGGUUGCCUAGGAACCUUCUAAUACAUGAAAGCAGCACUUUGCUGGCUGUCCUGCAUGGCUGGGGUUGGAAACUGGCCAGCGCUAUUCCAUGUUCAGCUUCUGUGUCCAUCUCACUCAGACCUUCAUUGCCUGGAGUUCCUGCUGUGGCUCAGUGGGUUAAGGACCCAACAUGGUCUGCAUGAGGAUGCAGGUUCGAACUCUGGCCUUGCUCAGUGGGUUAAGGCAUUGCUGAAAGUUGAGGCAUGGCUCUCAGAUGCUGCUCUGAUCUGGCAUUGCUGUGGCUGUGACAUAGGUCUUGGCUGCAGUGCCAAUUGGACCCCAAGCCCAGGAACUUUGUUCUAUGUGUGCGGGUGUGGCCAUAAAAAUUAAAAAAAAAAUGGACUUGAUUCAAUGUGUGUUUAUUGAUAUUAAAAGCCUGAUGCUUUGAGUUGAAAUUAGAAAAAGAAGAGUGGGGGGCUGUCUGAAUUCUGGUCUGCUGCAAGCUUCUGCUCUGCUGAUACUCAACUCAGACAACUUGACCAGCAUCCGAGGUCCUUUCUGAGCCCUGGACGCCCUCAGGUUCUGCUCUGACUCCCUGGUUCCUUACCAAGUAGCCAUGUACUCCUGGUGGGAACACAUCAAACUUCUCUCUCUCUCUCUUUUUUGCUGGGGGCGGGGGGGGGGUGCUGUAAAAUGUGCACUCUGAUGGCACCUAUUUCACUAGGCUGUUAUGCAAAUAAGAUGGGUUAAUUUACGCAAAGUGAUUUUAGUUUUUCAGUCAACAAACAUGUAAGGAUUAAUGGAUUACACGUUGGAGGCAGGAUGCAGUCCUAGGCACUCGGUAGACAGCGAAGCCAAGACGUCUCCCUUGCUCCUUCCCCAGACGUGCAGAUUCUCCGGAGAAGGGGAUGGGGCACGAAGGAAGACAAGCCGUGGAUAUAAGUGUAACGAUAAAGUGAAUUUUCUGGAAAGUCAUGAAAAGGGGAGUCCGCUUAGACCUCAUCAGGAAGCUGGCAUGGGAGCACAGAUGAGAGAGAGGCGGGAGUGUGGGCGGUCCUCCUGGAAAUCUGGCGGGUGCCCUCAGCGUCCACUCGGGUCUUAGGUUGGGAGCAGCAGAAAGGCCUGCGUGGCUGGAGAAGGGGGUGCUGGUGACAUAGGCCUGAGAGGUACCGGGGCGGGAGGCGGGUGAGCUCCCUGGGGGUCACGCUUUGGUGGCUGCCUGGGUGCCACGGUGGGGCUUUGAGCCCAGAAGAAAAGUGACACAGGUUUGGGCGGCCGGACCCCGGGAUGCCGUGAGAACAGGUGUUCCAGAGGUCAGGGCCCAAAUGGGCUGCCCUCUCUCUCUCUCUCUCCCUCUCCGUCCCCCCCCCCCCCCCCCCGCCCCCGCCGCCUCUCCUUCUUCCUUUCUUGAAAUGAUUUCCACCUGGAAAGAUGCUGGUGCGGAGGACCGGGUGCGCCCUGCCCGGACCUCUGAUCUUCCGAGGGCUGUGGCAGAAGGGCUGUGUUGUUUCAGGGCGAAGUUUGUAAUAAUUCACUGCGCCGCAAAGAAAACCAAUCCGAUAGCCCGCAUUGGGUGGGAAGGGCCCGCCCGCCCACCUUCCUCCAGCUUCUGCGCACGCCCUGAGCUGGGGCCGUGAUGCUCACCCCACCGCUCGGUCCCCUGCGAGUCACAGACCACCCAGCUCCCUCUGCAGCAUUUCUUGGUUUUCUUUCUUCUCCAUCCCUCUCGCUGCCAUCUUAGCUCUUAGGCCUCCCACGCCCCCACCCCCUCCCCCCGUUUAUGGUCCUUCUAGAGGUUUCUAACCAACUCUCCCAUUCUUGGGUUUUCCUUUUGUCCUAGGUCUGCGCACAGCCUGAUGAAUCUUUCCAAAGCUGACUUAAAUAAGGAAAUUCCCUUUUAAAAGACAAUAGCUUAGGAGGUGCUGUUGUGGCUCUCGGCAGGUUAAGAACUCGACUAGUAUCGGUGAGGAUGAGAGUUCGAUCCCUGGCCUCACUCAGUGGGUUGCCCUGAGCUGUGGUGUAGGUUACAGAUGUGGCUUGGAUCCCACGUUGCUGUAGGCCGGCAGCUGUAUCUCUGAUGAGACCCCUAGCCUGGGAACCUCCACAUGAGGCAGGUGCGGGCCUAAAAAUGAAACCAAAACCUCCCCCAAACAAUCGCUUGUUUACUUCUCCACUAUCGUGUCAUGUAAACAGUCUUCCUGAGCCCACCAAGGACCCGUGAUGGGGCUGGAAUUGGUGCUUAGAGGAAGGCGGUGGAUGCCCUCAGUCUAGAGCGUUAGGAGAGGGAGUGCAUGGGUCACAGUUUAUUGCACUGUACUCUGAAGAUAUAUGUACUGCUUGAUUCUGUCUCAAUAAGAAAGAUCCUAAAAGCCAUAAAAAGUAAAUUAUAAAAACCAAUCAAACAAAAGGAAAUAUAUGCAGCGGUGAAGGGUGUAGAUUCUGUCUCCAGGGAAGGCCUUCUGAAUUUCUGAAUUUCCUUCGACGUGCGGUGUCUCCUGACACUUGCAUCCUGCUUUUCUUCCAGGGUCUUUUCCUGCUGGUUCAGUGCCUUUCAUGCCCAUGCCUCCUGCUCUCCUCACAUGGCUUCUCUCUCCCCAUGUGGCAGCCUCAGGUUUUCCUUGGACACAAGCUGUAUUUUUCUUCAGUGAAUUCUUUGUUUUUUGACCACGCAUGUAGCAUGUGGAAGUUCCUGGGCCAGGGCUCAAACCCCACUGAACCUCCAGGGACUUCCUAGUUCUUACAGUUCUGAGUACCCGCUGCAAGUCAGUGAUGGCUUUAUCAUUGACCCCCCACCCCCGCAACCGGAGCUCCCACAGUAGCGCAACGGGAUCAGAGGUUUCUCUGCAGUGUCAGGACUCAGGUUUGAUCCCUGGCCCAGCAGAGUGGGUUAAAGGGUCUGGCCUUGCAACUCAGCAAGGAUCUGACCCCCGGCCCUGGAACGUCAUGUGCCAAAACAAAACCAAAAAACAAACAAACCAAAAAACCCACCACCUCGAAAACCCCUUCUUUUUUCUUAACUUUCUGGGCGCCUCCAGGAGAACAUUUUCUAUAUCAUUGCAUCUUUCCCGUUUCUCUCAGGGCAGGUGCUCCGUAAAUGCUGGGGACUUGAUUUAAUUUUCUUUUUUUGUAGUAAAAAUAUAUUAUUUUAUCACACUGUGUGAGCUCAAGAUAAUUGUAAUGGAAGAAUUUUUCUCAUUUCCAGUGAGGUGAAAAUACCUUUUACAUUGGUGAGGCAAUCUCUGUCCUAAACAGCUCUUCAGUGUCCUCUGAAGGGCAGGGAGGCACACACUCCUACCUGGCGGAGUCGUCAGGAAAAGUGCGCGUUCUUCCCUUAAAUUUCACGCCGUUCAACAGCAUAACGAGAAAGGUGUUUUUCUUUCCACUAAGACCCUCUGAAGUGUGCCUGGGUUUCCUUAGACAAGUGUUUCCGAUUUCACGAUGCCAGGCGCUGCUUCAAAUCUUUGUUUACUUGUUUCCUAAUGAACGUCUACUGGAAGAAUUAGAAAUGAAAAAUGUGCAGGCCUGAAGGAUGCCUCAGAGGAGAGCAUCCAUUUCACGGAGGGGUUGGAAACUUGCACCUAUGAAGAGAGUGUAUAGAAUUAUACGUUUCCCCGGGAAUUCGAGAAUGAUUGGACACUAUGGAUUUCCUUACUUGUUCACACUCACAAAUGUUAAGACACUCCCACCAUAAUAACUACUGAAAGAUGAGACAUGUUAGCGUAUUGAUAGAGAUGGAAAAAUCACUCGAUCAAGUUCUACGUGCUCAUUUUUAAAGAUAAAACUGCCUUUAGCAAAAGCUCGUAGUAGAAAGAAACGUAUUCUAACAGGUAGUGCACAUUCAUACUUUAAAAGAUCCCUCCUUUCAAAAUGACCUAACGAUUUCCAUCAUAGCUCCUUUUACUAAAGUUUAAAGAAAAGGAAAAAAGUGUAAAAACUGGACAUGGAGAGACUGAGAUGUUGGAUACGCAGGCGCUAAGAUAAUCUAUAGACAAAUCCAAAUAUUCCACCAGCUUGCAACAAUAAAGCCAUCUAGCAAUUUGCCGAGAAUGAGAUCAACAUACAAAAAUCAAUCCUGCUUUUAUACACUAGUGAUAACCAGUAUAACAAAGAGCCCAUUCACCAUGGCAACAGUACUUUUAGGGAUCCCCGGAUAAACCUAUGAAAUACGGGCAAAAUCUUUAUGGAGAAAAUUACAGGAGUUCCCGCUAUGGCUCUUCGGAAAUGAGCCUGAUUGGCAUCCAUGAGAUUACAGGUUCGAUCCUGGCCUUGCUCAGUGGGUUAAAGAUCCUGCGUGGCCAUGAGCUGCGGUGUAGGUCCAAGACAUGGCUCGGAUCCCACGUUGCUGUGACUGUGGCAGUGGCUGGCAGCUACCGCUCUGAUUUGACCCCUAGCCUGGGAAC